UUAAUAGCAGCUUUCCGAGCCUUUUGCCCUAAAGGAAUAGCUAAGGGCAUUGGCCGAUAGGGUGCCACUGGAAACGGUGACGCCUCCCAUGUUUGGAAAGGAGAGUUGACAUGCACAUA
RNAcentral lists this non-coding RNA (119 nucleotides) under Chloroflexota bacterium. RNAcentral's name for it is "Chloroflexi bacterium MoCo sequence". It matches the Rfam family "Molybdenum/Tungsten riboswitch aptamer (Moco RNA motif)". Lineage: Bacteria; Bacillati; Chloroflexota. The record is from RNAcentral.